GCCAGUGAUGACUUUAACAUUCUUCACUUUGACCUGAUUAGUCAGUGAUGUGAAUUCUCAGUCUGAGC
Molecule: small nucleolar RNA, 68 nt
Organism: Betta splendens (Siamese fighting fish)
Lineage: Eukaryota; Metazoa; Chordata; Actinopteri; Anabantiformes; Osphronemidae
Product: small nucleolar RNA SNORD37
Source: Ensembl